This is a long non-coding RNA of Physeter macrocephalus (sperm whale), 614 nucleotides long. RefSeq lists it as uncharacterized. The record is from RefSeq and is a predicted model, not a curated record. The transcript has 3 exons. Lineage: Eukaryota; Metazoa; Chordata; Mammalia; Artiodactyla; Physeteridae.
UCCUAAAGGCUGCUUUCCUUCAGAGAUGUAAGAUGGAUACGACCAUUUCAAGAGAAACAGUUAAAAAGAGCCACGUCCAGAGAAGGAAAGCAGCAUUUCCAGUUUUUAUUCUAAACACCAUGAAGAGAUCUCUGAGUGUGAAGCAGACCCAAGGGAAAAAUAACCCUCUUAGAUAUAGAUGUUAUUGCCAUUAAAUUACUACCUUAAGUAGAUGUACAUAUAGGAGAUACAGUUAAUUUCACAUGAAGAUGGGAAAGACCACGAAGGAUGAGUGGCAUCUUCUGUGGCUGUACAUACUCUGUACUAAGACAUGAGCUAUUUUUUUUCUCCAAGUUAAUAAUCUCCUUGCCGCUGAUAACAACACUCCAAUCCUUCCCUGCACUUUGGAACAGUAUAUAGCUAAACAAAAGAUGGAAAACAAACAAACAAACAAAAAAACACAGAGACUCUGGAGAAGAAAUUCAGUACAAUGAUUUCAUUUGCCUGGGUCACUUCGUUUUAUAAGUCAACAAUUGGGAACGCUGUAAUUAGUUACCAGCAUAGGGUAUUUUGUUUAGUCGUUUAUUGAUGAAAAAUCUGGCAUCAUUAAAACAUUACUUUCAGGUCACUUUUAA